This 347-nucleotide ribosomal RNA is filed under the name uncultured bacterium. RNAcentral's name for it is "bacterial SSU rRNA". It matches the Rfam family "Bacterial small subunit ribosomal RNA", at positions 28 to 372 of the family's 1533-position model. The record is from RNAcentral.
GACGAACGCUGGCGGCGUGCUUAACACAUGCAAGUCGAGCGGUAAGGCCCUUUCGGGGGUACGACGAGCGGCGAACGGGUGAGUAACACGUGGGUGACCUGCCCUUACGCUCUGGGAUAAGCCUGGGAAACGUAGGGUCUAAUACCGGAUAUGACUCCAUGACGCAUGUUGUGGGGUGGAAAGCCUUGUGCGGCUAGGGAUGGGCCUGCGGCCUAUCAGCUUGUUGGUGGGGUGAUGGCCUACCAAGGCGACGACGGGUAGCCGGCCUGAGAGGGCGACCGGCCACACUGGGACUGAGACACGGCCCAGACUCCUACGGGAGGCAGCAGUGGGGAAUCUUGCGCAAU